GAUGAACGCUGGCGGUGUGCCUAAUACAUGCAAGUCGAGCGAACAGACGAGGAGCUUACUCCUCUGACGUUAGCGGCGGACGGGUGAGUAACACGUGGAUAACCUACCUAUAAGACUGGGAUAACUUCGGGAAACCGGAGCUAAUACCGGAUAACAUGUUGAACCGCAUGGUUCAACAGUGAAAGACGGUCUUGCUGUCACUUAUAGAUGGAUCCGCGUCGCAUUAGCUAGUUGGUAAGGUAACGGCUUACCAAGGCAACGAUGCGUAGCCGACCUGAGAGGGUGAUCGGCCACACUGGAACUGAGACACGGUCCAGACUCCUACGGGAGGCAGCAGUAGGGAAUCUUCCGCAAUGGGCGAAAGCCUGACGGAGCAACGCCGCGUGAGUGAAGAAGGUCUUCGGAUCGUAAAACUCUGUAAUUAGGGAAGAACAAAUGUGUAAGUAACUAUGCACGUCUUGACGGUACCUAAUCAGAAAGCCACGGCUAACUACGUG
RNAcentral lists this ribosomal RNA (497 nucleotides) under uncultured bacterium. RNAcentral describes it as "partial 16S ribosomal RNA". It matches the Rfam family "Bacterial small subunit ribosomal RNA", at positions 28 to 507 of the family's 1533-position model. The record is from RNAcentral.